Molecule: ribosomal RNA, 420 nt
Filed under: bacterium
Lineage: Bacteria
Description: partial 16S ribosomal RNA
Rfam family: Bacterial small subunit ribosomal RNA
Source: RNAcentral
UGGGGGAUAUUGCACAAUGGGCGAAAGCCUGAUGCAGCGACGCCGCGUGGGGGAUGAAGGCUUUCGGGUUGUAAACCUCUUUCGCUAUCGAACAAGGCCCGCUUAGGGUGGGUUGAGGGUAGGUGGAGAAGAAGCGCCGGCUAACUACGUGCCAGCAGCCGCGGUAAUACGUAGGGCGCGAGCGUUGUCCGGAAUUAUUGGGCGUAAAGGGCUUGUAGGCGGCUUGUUGCGCCUGCUGUGAAAACGCGGGGCUUAACUUCGCGCGUGCAGUGGGUACGGGCAGGCUUGAGUGUGGUAGGGGUGACUGGAAUUCCAGGUGUAGCGGUGGAAUGGGCAGAUAUCUGGAGGAACACCGAUGGGGAAGGCAGGUCACUGGGCCAUUACUGACGCUGAGGAGCGAAAGCAUGGGUAGCGAACAGG